AGAGUUUGAUCAUGGCUCAGAACGAACGCUGGCGGCACGCCUAACACAUGCAAGUCGAGCGCUCACUUCGGUGGGAGCGGCGGACGGGUUAGUAACGCGUGGGAACAUACCCUUUUCUACGGAAUAGCCUCGGGAAACUGAGAGUAAUACCGUAUACGCCCUUCGGGGGAAAGAUUUAUCGGUUAAGGAUUGGCCCGCGUUAGAUUAGAUAGUUGGUGGGGUAACGGCCUACCAAGUCGACGAUCUAUAGCUGGUUUGAGAGGAUGAUCAGCAACACUGGGACUGAGACACGGCCCAGACUCCUACGGGAGGCAGCAGUGGGGAAUCUUAGACAAUGGGCGAAAGCCUGAUCUAGCGAUGCCGCGUGAGUGAAGAAGGCCUUAGGGUCGUAAAGCUCUUUCGCCAGGGAUGAUAAUGACA
RNAcentral lists this ribosomal RNA (420 nucleotides) under uncultured marine bacterium. RNAcentral describes it as "bacterial SSU rRNA". It matches the Rfam family "Bacterial small subunit ribosomal RNA", at positions 8 to 456 of the family's 1533-position model. The record is from RNAcentral.